Equus caballus (horse) is the source of this 14241-nucleotide long non-coding RNA. The record is from Ensembl. NCBI's taxonomy places the organism in Eukaryota, Metazoa, Chordata, Mammalia, Perissodactyla, Equidae.
AGGAAAGGCUCUUACACCUUCUACUGGCUGCGUCCUGACUGCAGUGAUUGGGUCAGGGAUGUCACAUGACCUCCACGUAUCCAAUCAGAGUGAGCGUCAGGACCAGCCGGGCUGACUGGAAAGCCUUGGCCAUGAGAGGAGGUGAGGACGGCGCUCCGCCGCCAUCUUGUCGCCGUCGAGGGGCCUGGAGGCAUCAGGUGAGGGAGAUGGGGUCCCGUUCAUGAAGCCAGACGGCCGAGGGGAAGAGCCGAGGUGCAAACCGGAGUCCGUGACGUCCUGCAGCCCUGGAUCCGGGGUCCCGAGGGGCCUGCCCUCCGCUCCUGGGCCCGCGGGGCGGACGCGGCCGUCUCUCAGCCGGUGGGCGGCCGAGGGCCUGUCGUCGUCGCGAGCUCCGCCCUGUGCAGCCGGGCCCUGCUCCGCCUGGUCGCCUGGUUGGAGGGAGGGCGGCUCGGCCUUGAGAGCGGGACGGCCCGAGGCCGGCGUGUCCGAGUCUCCGCCGGCCCACCUCUCCGCCCUCGGCCCACGGCGGCGGCGUGUGACGGGGCCGCUCCCGGACAGUCCCGGGGAGCCGGUGGGAGGAACACCCGACGCCGCAGGAGGUGGAUCAGGUCAGCAAGACGCGUGACACGGUGUGUAAAUGUUUUGCAGUGAAGGCUUCAUCUCUUAGAUAAAAAAGAGCUUGUGCGGAAGUUCCUCGUUGACUUGCUUCAUAAAUCUCCCCAGGUUACGUCCUGCUGCAGAGGCCUGUGUGGGCCCCUCCUGUUAGCGGAGGUGGGGCUCAGCUGGGAUGCGGUAACUGCCGAGCUAGGACGUGGAGAGGCCCCCAGGUGGUAGGGGGCCCUGGACAUCUCCAGAAUCGGGGUGAGCUGCUGUUAGACAAGGGAACACUCCCGUUUACUGCACCCACUGCUGACAGCCCAGAGGAAGACGAGGCCGGGACCCUCACCAGGUUGUAGUGGAACGAGGAGACUGAUGCUGCACGGGACUUUCUGUCCUGGGAGCGUGUUCUGUUCACCUUUCACGUGGCCUGGGAUUGCUCUCCCUGCUGUGGGUCAGCACUCACAAAGCCAUGGAUAACCUGCCAGGCGGGCGCCGGUGGACGCUGUCCCUGGGAGCUGGUGUCUUGUGCCAGGUCCCGAGGGGACUCUCACCCAGGAUAGGCCGAGGAGGCUGUGUCAGGGAUGUUUGCUGUGAGGCUGCUCUGAGCCAAGCUCCCUCCCUCCCUUCCUCCCCUCCACGUGGUGCGCACAGGGGGUCAGAAAAGGGGGAAGUGCUAAGUUCUGGGUGAAAAUCCAUUGCGUUUCCGCUGUCUCCAAAUUCCUGAUGCUUGGCACUGGCCAGAGUCCAGGUCUGCAGCUUGGACCCGGAGCAGCAUGACGCGUCCCUGGCAGAGAUUGUGUCCAUGACUCAGGUUCCUGGGGAAGUGAAAGCCCCUCCUGUAAACCUCCGUGACUUCCAGAGCUCCACCGUGACAGGACCGGGACCCUCACCUCUGCACUCAGACUCCAGAUGCCCCGGUGCUGCCCACACGGGACAGGCUUGGGAGCCGGACCAUCUCAUUAUGGGAGCUCAGCCACAGCUCAUCCUCGGCUCGGCUCCCAGAAUGUCCUGAUCCCCAGUGCUCCUGGCAGAGCACUGAGAACUGGGAAAGAAGGCUCUGCGCAAGUUAAAAUGCAUAAGGCUUUGAAAAGACAUCAACGUCAAUUUCAGUUUCAAGAACAAAAUGCAUUUCGUAGAACAGCGUCACAAUUACCUUGCGUUAUAAACACCCAAAUCCUGUUCGCACCGUCUGCACCCUCAUUUGUUAUGUAUUGUCUUAGUGCAGAGUGACACCUGCCUUCGCUUUAAUUAAAAGCUCAUAAUGUUCAAAUGUACUUAGAAGGAAAAAGGACAGAAUUCUCCUUUGGGGAUAAUUAUGUGCUUGUUACAGCUUGUUUACUACACCCCAGGGAGUGUGUGACUCAACCCACCUGCCCGUCACGGACCUUGCUGGAGCUUUGUCAUCAGCUGCAGGUGCUGAGAGGAUCUGAUGGCAGGUGCCUUCCUGAUCAGGUGAUCAAGAAUUUGGACUGUUUACAGCCCCAAGACCACUGCAAGGUCAAAGGGUAUUCUAGGCCCGCCGGAGGGCCAGUCAGGAAGGAAGUCAGCACCUCCCAGCCUGCAUACCAGAGCGCUCUGGGUGUGGGCCAUGGUCAGGAGGCAUUUUCCCAGGGAAGAAGCCGUCCCUGAGUUAGCAGACCGUUCAGCUCACUCACUCACUCCUUACUUCACGCAUUCAAAAUGUGUUUUCAGAGGGACCAGGCUCUGUCCUUGGUAUUGAAGGUACAAGUCAUAGCACAGCAGACUCGACCCUGCCCUCAAGUUCCCCAUCUAGAGAGGGAGACAGGCAAGGAGUGACCACUGUAAAGACAGAAUUGCGAACUGUAACGGACAUCAGGACAGAAUUCCAGGGAGCUUUGGGAACGUAUGACAGGGAGGGUCAGGGAGCUGACAUCUGAAGGAUGUGCAGUCAAGGACAGGACAUUCCAGGCAGAGGAAACAGCCAGUGCAAAGGCCUCGGGGUGAGAUGAUGCAGACCCCUUAGACACAGAAGUCAUUGUACCAAUAUGUGACACUGACAUGGGGUUCUGUGCUCACUGCUGUGAAUACACCUCCCCGUUUAAUUCUCAGUCCAGCCUCAGGAGUAAAGACAAGCUAAUGAGCACAUCAACACCAUCAUUCCCACUCCAUGGAUGAGGAUGUCGGAGCAUGUUGUGGAAGUAACUUGCCUAAGUUUACACAGCUCAUGAGUGAUGGGGCUACGACCUGACCCAGGCCACCUGGCUCCCUGUGCUGAGCUGCUUUAAGAUCUCUCAGUGUGGCUUCAGCUCUAAGAGGAGGUGGAGCAUGAUGUGAAGAGAUUGGGUGUGGGCAGGACCAGAGCCAGAGCAUGAGGGCCUGCAGGCCAUUGCAUCUGUCAGGAUCCUUUCUGUUGUGAGCAACAGCAAACUUAAACCACACCAGCUUAAAUCAAAAGAGAUGUUACUGGUGCACUUACCUGGAAUGUCUGGGGUGUGUUUCAGGCCUGGCUUGAUCCAGGGGUUCAAGUGACAUCGUCAGGGCCCACUCUUUUCUCUCCUCCUCUGUGCUGGCUCUGUCCAGCAACUGCAACCUUAACAUCCUCCUGAUUCCUGAUUCGAGUCUCAAGAAACACUGACUACCUCUUCAUAGCCAUUCAAGCAGAUCAUUUAUAGAGAGGCCUUGAUGGAGUUCAGUCACUACACCAUCCAAAUGGUCUCAAACACAUGUUGCUCUCUCAAGGCUGCUUCUUCGAACAUGGCUUCCACUGUGGGAACGGUGGACAGGGGAUACAAUCCAAGGAUGAGAUGGGUGAGGAGCCUUGGAUCGCCCAGGCCAGCUCUCAGGUCAAGCAACCAGCAGUCACAUCCUUCUGUGACCUCCUCCAACAGUGGGGUGGAGGGCUCGGCCCAAAGAAGAGGGUGUGCUGUGGGCACCUGCAGCAGGCACUCUCUGGGUGCCUACCCUGUGCAGGCGCUCUCCCAAGUGCUAUCCGGCUAGACUGUGAGCAGCACAAGAGCAGGGCCAGUAUGUCUUUAGUCACCAUGAGACACGUUAUUUAUAACAGGAAGACAUUUGAAAUGUCUCCGUUUUCAACAACGUGGCAUUAAAGGAAUAACAACUCAAAAAGCCAUGUAAGAUGCUGUUGAUCCCACGUCAGACUUCCCCGCAGAUGACCUUCCAAACGCAGUGGUUGGCAACUGGAUACCAGGGAAUGGACAAACCAAGUGGAAAAAUACUGGAACCAAAAAACUCCACUGUAAACCCUGGUUAGAGCCAGGGCAACUGAUGAGAGUUGUGAGAGUUGAAGCAACUAUAAAGAAAUCUGUCUGGUAGGGUUCGAUGUGCAUGCGCUGCUUGUGGAAUUGUUCAAGCAUCUAUUCAAAAAAAUUUUUUAAAUCAAUAAUGUGCUGUUGGCAUAAAGUUAAAUGAUCAUUUUUCAAAAAAAAAAAAUGAUGUGUGGGAAUGUUUUCCCUGGCCAUUGGCAAAAAUCUUUCCCCUGGCCAGGAAGAGCACACAAGCACAGGCAGAGUCGGAGGCUGGAUCCCAGAGGCCAGGUGAUCCCAGGCAGGCUCCCUGCCCUGCAGGGCAGCAGAGGGAUGAGGAGAGGACACUGAGGGCCGCAGGGCCCCAGAGAAGAUGGGAGGAUAGGGAGGGAGACGGACCCUCUGAUGUCAGAUCUGCUGUCCCGAGGGGUGCUUGCAUCCUCAGUGCUGCAAGUGAGGUCAGUCAGGCUGCCUGCCCGCAGCCGCCAGUUUCCAAUCAAGCACUGGAAAAGUUGAAUGAAGGGAAUCUUAAACCAGUGGCCUGAUAACCCACCUACCAGACUGUUAAUGCACCACUGGAUCCUUCCCGUGCUGCUGGUAAGUGUCACCUACCGAUGCCCCAGCUUCCUGAUUUACUCUGCAAGACUGUGCUGUGGAAUGAAGCCCGCAGGGCAGCCAGGUGAAGAGUAAUGCAGUGGCCCCAGGCCCCUUGAGCUUUGAGAGCCCUCGCUUCCCACCCGGCCCAUCCUCCUUCAGGCCUCUCUGCUGACUGCUUCUUCCUUGGGCCUUCUCUUGUGGGCAGGAGCAGAGCAGGAGCUGCCCUGGGGGGACCCCAGCAGGCAGGUGAGUUCUAAGCCCCUGUUACCCCAGGUGUGGUCGGGGGACCUGCAGCCUGGCAUCCCCUGGGAGGCUGUUGGAAAUGCAGAAUCCCAGGCCCCAGCCAGUCCUAGGAAUCAGCAUCUGCCAUGUAACCAGCCCCAGGAGACUCAUGAGCACGGUGCACUCUGAGGCGCUCAGGGCUCAGCCACAGCCAGCGGGCAGCUGUCUCUCCAGUCAGCACAGCACAGAGGGGGAGAAAUGCCCCUGUUGUGACUGCAUCAAAUAGGGUGAGAGUCAGCUGUGAGCAACUGGAAACCACAAUCCACAGGAACUUGGAGAAGACAGAGGUUUACUUCUCUCUCACAAAAACAGAGCACAGAGAAGUGUAGUGCAGGACUGGCUUGAUGGUUCAGUCAUAAGGGAAGGAGGCUCCUCUAUCUUGUUUCUAGGACGUCCUCAAUAUCUGAUCCUUCCUUAUGUUCCAAAAUGGCCGCUUGAGCUCCAGCCCUCACAUCUACAUUCCAGCUGCACAGGGCAGGCAAGCCACCAUCCUUACCCGACUCUACUCUCCAGACCUUCUCCAGUCACCUCCAAGCUUGGGGACCAGCUUCGCACAAAGCCAUGGCAGCUUCGCCUGCAUCCUGGGAUGAGCCCUGGGGAAGUCAAAGUAAUCCUCCCAGCAGGGCCAGGCAUGAGCAUUCUGACUGCCCUGAGCUCCUCACCCGCACCCCCCACCCACCCACCCGUGGAAAGAGCCUGUCCAGCAUCCAUCUAUAGGACCCACCAGGGAGAGGAGAGAGAAAAUCGGUGCUCUUAGGAAAAAUCUCUCAAAACCCAGGAGAUCUGUCAAACCAGGAAUCGAACAGAGGGACAGAUCUGUUUGCAAUCUGACUGACAAGCUCAGCUUGUUCACCUGAUAGAAGCCGAGGAGAUGCUGGGAUACGCGCUUAUGUGAGCAGGCUACACAGCGCUGGGCCAGGCCACUGUCUCAUGUAUCUGGACAGACUCCAUUAGGCCCAUUCCUCUUGAUUAAAUCUCCUCUAAGGAUGCUUGUUGGGUGGAGGGGGAAUGAUCACACGUAUCCAGGGGAGGUGCCAGGAAGCAGGUGGUGGCCCGUCACCCUCUCCCCGCCCUAAGGUCAUGAGUUGGCUUCACCCCCAACCCCCAGCCCCUGUCCUCAGUGAGGAGCAGUGUUCUCCCAAAUGGUCUUUCUGACUGGUGGCUGCUUUUUGGUUUCAUCUUGGUUCUCUCUGAAACAUUUUAGAUAACUGAGUAGUUCCUCCAGAUAUAUCAUCAGCGGUUUUGUCUGGCACUGCAUUUUUUGUUUUCUUCCUGUGUCUCUGAUUCUGUAUCUGCUUCCAUCAUUGUCUCUCCUCCUCAUGACUCCGAAAUACAGACAUUCCCUAAGACUCAAUAUUGGCCACCUUCUCUUUGUAAACUCUCCCUUGGGAUUCCAUCUACCCACCAUGGUCCAAGUGUCAUGGGAAUAGCUCUUAUCUCUGCAUCUCCAGCCCUGACUCCUUCUCCAGACUCCACUUCCGCUGAAGUCCUGCCAUGUGACAUGCCUGAUAGGCUCAGGCUAGAUCCAAUUGUGUGACCUCUCAGUACCAGCUCCUGCCAUCUUGUUCAGGGCAGCCCCAUCCCUCCAGCAUCCAGGUACCGAAUGUUGAUGCCUUCUUUGACUCCAUGAAAUCUGCUCAUGACCCACGUCCAAUCCAAGACUAAGAUACAGGGGUCUCUUGGAUCUGUAUCCAGACAAAAUGGGUGUCUUUGAUGGCAUUUGGUGACACCAAGAGAGCUAGAAUCCUGUGCAGGUCGAGUCUCAACUCACUGAAAAGCAGGGCAGUCUCCAUCCACUGAGCACCAUUCUCUCACAAGAGACAUUUGGGCAGUACUCUCCAAAGGCCCACUCUUGGGAUUCGUAAAUGCCUACAACAAAUCCCCUGCUGAGGAGGUGCGGCUGAUGGGGCAGCACAUCAGAGGCUGCUGUCGUUUCUUAGUCAGAUGGCCACCGAGCAAAUGCAAAAGAUCAGCUCCCAACACCAAGGCAUCCAAGAGUCACACGCAGGAAACGGGCACCCGAGGUUGAAAUGUGUCACCCAUCCUCUGGAGGUGCUGUGACCUCCACACAGAACAAUUUGGAGUCUCUCGGCAGGUGAUCACAGCCCUCUCACCUGGCAGGUGGCUGAGUUAACAAUGUGCUGCUGCGACCUAUCAGCUUUGGGAGAGGAUCUCCUACAGCUCAGAAGGACUCAUGAUAUAGAACGUUCCAAACCGAGCUGUCAGAUUGGUUGUUCAAUACACGGCCCCUCGCUCAGUCCAUAGAGCCCACAUCUGUGUGUGCUGGAGACACUAAUAAGGCUGUUGGUGCUGGGUGAUGGAGGAUGAUGUCCCCAAUGGUCAGCACUGAGGGCUGUGACCUCCCACCAAAGAAAGAAGUCCUGAGAACUGCACACCGAGGAUAGAGCCACUUUUAGCAGAGAAGAGCUGGGCUAUCCCAACCCAGGAGAUUUACUGGUUUCCUUAGAGUAUGUUUGUCUCAUUCUGAUGGUUGAUCUCUCAUCGAGAACCAAAGUUAAAAUUGCUUCCAAGAUAAAGGCAAACACCCGGUGCCCAUUCUUCCCCCCUGCUCACUGAUGGUGUCUGAGGAGAGCCCUGAGCUCCUGUUGGUGGACAGGACUUACUAGAGCAGAGACUCCCAGACGUCAGCGUGCAGGAGCGUCCCCUGGAGGGCCGGGCCCCACCCCAGAGUUCCUGACGGAGCAGGUCUGGAGGUCAGGACUGACAGCUUGUUUCUGAUAAGUCCCCGGGUGACGCUGAUGCUGCUGGUCCAGGGACCCCACUUUGAGAAACACUGGAAUUAUGUGAAAGGAGCAACAUCCCAAGAUGGCGCAGGACCCAGUACUCAGCACGUCCCCAUAUAAUUCAGAUCCAAAGAGCAGGCCUUCCAGGGCUGGUCACUGACCUGAGGCAUUAGUGAGGGGGGAACCCAGGGUUCCUUUGAGAGGUGGCCCAAGUUAACCUGUGGUCAGAGAUGGCCCUGGCCAGUGUCCCUCUCCCACCCUCUGCCUUUCACUGGCCCCAACACAGGGUCUUACCUGUCUGAGACAUGUGGUCCAAGCCAUUCGAUCGUCAUGGUUUUAGUCAGGGUUGUGUGGCAAAACCCCCACCAUGUCAGUUUGAGGCUACAUUCUGCCAGGGCAGUUCCUCAGAGAUGACCCCACCUCUCCAUAUAGUCAGAGAAUGUAAAACAAAUUAAAAGUAAACUUGAAAAACUGGCACAGUGGUGGUGGCUGUCCGGGGGGACAAACCCUUCCAAACUGGUACCCACAAGCCUGGACGCUGCUGCUGCACCCCACCCCUCAGCGUUGGUGGGAGUCUCUCAGGGCCAUCUGCUCAGGGAGGCAGCCAUGCUUCAGACAGGUCUAUUCUUGCUUUAAUUAAGAUUCCCGUUGGUCUCGUCCUGCUCCUGGGGUUUCACUUCAUAUUUUAAAGGGCAGGUCUCAAGAUGGUAGAUGAUCUCAGAGAGCCCGGCAGGGGGCUGCAUGACUUACAGACACUCAGUGAGUGUGCGGUGACUGACCUGCCUGCACGCCCUCUACCUGGUUUUGUCACAUGCUUUGUCUUUAUCUCCUGGGUGUCAGAGUCAUGCUGGGGCACCCCGAGCAAUGGCCAGGGAUUCUCUGCCGUGUGCCUGCCUCUCCCAUGGGUCCCUGCUGCAUCUCCUGCUGUCCCAGAGCAAUGCCUCCUCAUGGUUGGCUCAUUUGGAAGCAGGGGCGUUGCUGAGCAUAGUGAUACCCACCCUGAGGAGUGGGGAUGGGAGGGAGGAGGUGGGGGUCCUGGUGACACCCACCCUGGGGAUGGGAGAAGAAGGGGGCAUUGAAGUGACAAAGGCCGGGGCUUCAUGGAUCUUGUGCCUAGUAUCUUCCUCCCUCUCUUCAGUCAAGAUGACAGAGACCCUGUGUUGUAGAUUGGGUGGAGGCUUGAGCGCAGCCCCCUCGUGAGUUCUCAUCUGUGCAGUCACACUGUUCUGAUUCUUUGGGAUUCUUGACCAACACUCGACACCUGGUGAGCGCCGUCUCCUCCUCAUCACUCCAGGAUUCUCUCCUCCGUGAGCUCUUCCUCCCUCCCACACUGGAGCUCUGACGCUGGAUCCUUCACUCCCCUAGGGCACCUGGUGUGCCUCAGUUUACCCCUCAUCGCUGGGCAUGGUGACAGAGUCUGUCUCCCUCACGAGACUUGGGGUUCCCUAAAGGCUGGACUUGUCUUCAUCUCUGCAACCCCGAAGCGCAGCCCAGUGCCAGGGAGCAGGGGCUCUUGGGAAGGGGCGCUGAGUGAAUGAAUCAAUGAAUGAAUGAUGAACACAUGCAUGAACAUAGAAAGUGCCGCCCGUGGAUCCAGCGUCUCCCAGGAGGAGGUGUGACAUGGCCAUAAUGAACUUCCAGGUCAGAAGCCCGAGGUCCCGGCACCGACAGCUCCGGGCCACAAAUCCCUGGAAAACUGAGGACUGUCCGGCAUGGCAGCUCUCGGGAGCUGCAGUGUUUCCACGAAUUUAAUACCGUUGAAAUAAAACCCCUGAGUCUGGGAAAUGAAAUACCAUGAAUUGCUCAGCGUCAGUCUUUAGAUCCUGGAAAACCCCUGUCUGAGAGGAGCAGCCACUGCGAAACAGGCAUGAAAUGCGCUACUCUUAAAGAGAUGGUUUAUCUUUACUUAAAAAGUAAAGCACUAAAGGGAGAUCUUGGGAAAAACUCCUCUAGUUGAAGCUCUCUGAAGAUUCCUGUUAACACGGUCCGAGCUGUCAGGGUCCCCUUGUCACAUGCAGAAAGACAGGAGUCACUGCACUGGGAGGAGGCCCCGGGCAGGUGGGGGAUGCGGCCCGGAUGCCCUUUACUCCCAAUGCUGUUGCCUCCUCUGCUCCCCCAAGCCCACCCUGCUUCAGGCUCAGGCCCCGCUUGAGUCUCCACCUCCCACAUCCUCGGCUCAUGUGGGUGGUUCCAUGUGGGUCUUACCCUCACUCCCCCACCCCAGGACCCCGGAUCUCACUGUGAAAACUGGAUGCUCUCUGCUUCUUUCUGGGGCGUUUGUAAUCAUAACCAAUAAAUAAAUUAAAAAGAAAGUGGAGGCCAGCGCUGCUGAGGACUCCUGAGGAAGCAUCUCAUCCCUUAGUCGCUGGAUGCUGAGCUGCUUGGCACAAAAGAAAAAGACCAGAUUGAAACCAAGAGACGAGGAGGAGAAGGAGCCACAGAAGUUUUCCAAGGACGCUGUAAUGCUGUCCUCCUCCCUGGCUCCCAGAGCUCCUGGGUCGGCAGCACCAGCCCAGGCAGGCGAGGGUUACACAAAUGACACCAAGAGGAGAGCGAGGAGUGUCCUGGGGGUCAGGCUCGGCCACUUAAAGAGCAGGAGCUGCAGGGCAGGGGUUGCUGGGUUCUGUGACGGAGUCAGGGUGUCCGUCCAGAGAGAUGCGGCCUGAACUCCCCCAGGAAGGUCACACCCUCCUGUCACGUGCAGCACCCGGGAGGGCACCGUGGGCAGUGCCACCAGCUGUGGUUCUGCAGAGACUCAGAAAUGCACUCCCAAUGCACGGUCCCUACCACCACCCCCCCCCCCCCCCCCCCCCCCGUCAGCCUUUCCCUCAGAAGAUGAGAGACAAGGUGGUGGAGGAAGGCUGCUUCCUGGGGGCUGAGGGGUGAGAGCACAGGGGUGGGGUGAGCACCCAGAUGUUUGGGGACCAGAGAGCAGUGGUCCCACUGGUGCCAGGCUGCAGGGGAGUAGAGAAGGGCUGGAGACAGACUGGCGGCCCUGAGCCCAGGGGGGCCUUGGGGAGCUGAGGGUGGAGGGAGGGAGGACGGAGACGGGCCAGCCUCACAGGACAGCACUGCCUGUUCCCACUGAUGGAAGAGGAAAGGAAGUGAUCCCUGACCCUGAGCAUCUCUUCUCCCCCGGGCCACAGCCCUCCACGGUUUCCAGAGCCCAAAAGAGCCCAGGAGGGCCGGAACCUCUUGUCUGUUUAAUUUACAGUGUUUGGAAUUCAUUACAGAAUAAUUGUCUUAUUGAUCAGCUGCUGGCAUAUUUACUGUUUUCCCUUUCAGAUCAGAAAUGAUAUAGUGUAACUAAAGUAACUUUAAUUAUGUCAGUGCUUGGGAAAUUUGAAAGUUACUGGCACUUUAAAUAUUACCUUUUAAAUUCUGUGAAACGGAAGUGACCCUCCAUGGCAAAAUUUCAGCAUGGAGGGCCAGUGCCCUGGGCAGUCUCACUCUGUCUUCACGCCUCAGGCGCCUGUCUGCCCUGACCCUCUCCCCCUAACUCCAAUCCGAGGGUGAGGGUCCCCUGUGUGCUCUGUCCACUGGCUGCAGGGUGAGCUUCCCCGCAUGUCCCCUCUUGUUCUGGAAGGAACGGCCUCAUCCCAGGUGUGACAUCCAUUUAUCUGUUGUGCCCACCACUGUCCAUGCCCUAACUGUUCAUAACAGCCCGAAAUUCCCUGUGGGGAGCCAGCUCCCACUCACUUCUUGGCCCUGUGGUUUGGGGGUGCUGACUGCACCCCACAGGCGGAGUGGACCGUGUGACUCAGGUCCAGGUUAACUGGUGACUUCCAUUCCUCUAUGACUGGUUCAGGGUGGACAUGUGGCCCAGCCCGUGUCUUGGCCCGUGGACUCAGGACCUCUGCCUGAACAGGUUGGGUAGAGGUUCCUCCCUGUGUCACCAGGAGGUGGCAUCCACCUCAGCUUGAAGCUGACACAGAGGAUGCGGAGCUGAGAGAUGCGAAGAGAACAAGGUCCUGGUGAUUUUAUUGUCAAAUAGGGUCUGGACUUUUCAGUGACCCGUGUCAGUAAAUCCCCCUUUCCUUUAGCCAGUUUGUGUUGGGUUUCCUGUCCCUUGUGUUUAGCAGAGCUCUAACUAAUACGGGGUCAGGAAACCCCAGAGGACAGCCAGUGUGUGGGAGGAGUCCCUGCCCAGAGACACCUGCUCCUCCCGUGGAUGGACCAGCCCCAGAGCCACCAGGACAUUCUACCCUGCUGGUUGAAAGGGUUAAGGAUUGAUGGUGGGGAGGGGGGUGUAUUGGGGGUUUCUCUAGCACAUGUCCAGGCUCUCACUUCCCACCCUCACCCCAGGCCAAGGGCUGUGUGAUCCAUGGAGACCACAGCAGAGGGUUCAUCUUCUGCCCAACAACCCCUCCUUGCUAGGAACUUGCUGGAAGGUUCCCCUUGGGGUCUGUGGGGCUGGGCAAGGGGAGGGGUCUCUGGCAGAGGCUCCAGCACAGCCUGUCCCCUCCACUCCCCCCCAGUUUCCUUCUGCUACAGAGUCCACAGCUGAAUUCAUGGGCUGUGCUGUGACCAGUGACCCCUUCCUUCCUUUUGAAAAACUCAGAGAUCAUCUGAAAGAUCUGAUCCACCUUAUUUGCCUCAGUUUCCUUUCUGUAAAAUGAGGGUACUACCACUCUCUCCCUGGGUCUGGGGAGGGGGAGCCGAGGUCAGGGAUGCAGCCGCCCCACAGACGUCUGCACACAGUGAGUGUCCGGAACACCAGUGCCCCGCGUGGGCUGGCUUGUGGUGAAUAAUUGCAGGGAAGCCGCACUCAACCCACGGGAGAGCCAGCACACACGGGAAGUAUUACCUGUGAAGUAUAGCUUCAUUGCUCUUUCAUGAAUAGCGGUUGCCAGAGCUUGGAUAACUCACAUCAUUGUUGCUUUGAUGCGUGAAGAGGAUUUGCAAUGAUACAUUUAAUUGCAAUCACUGGAAAUUGAUGUUUAUGCUGUGGACCAGACUAUGUGACGUGUUCCAGGUAAACACUUUUUGCCUCCAACACAGGGUCAGAUUCAACCCAGUUUUUUGUCUCAAUUGUUGGACUCAGGACUAUGGGCAUCCCUGAGAAUUAUUCUCCUAUAAAGGUGUUUCUGGCACCCUCUUUCCUGGUUCGAUGGGGCUCCUGCAGAGCUGGGCUCGCCCUCUUUCCUGGUGCUCCCCAGUCCCGAGGACCCCCUGGUUUCCACUCCCUCUGCACCAGUUCCUGUGACACUAACAGAAGUCUGAGCUGGGGGACAGAGGACUGAGCACCUGCACUCCCAUCUGUCCUGCCGCAGGAGGAAGACAGGGGCGCAGGUGCACCCCAGGCUGCCUUUAGGAGCUGGAAUGGCAGGUGUCUGGGGAACAUGCACUGUGGGAAAUGCGGAGUUUUCCUCGGGAGGGAGUGCAUCCAGGAGGCUGGUGUCCUGGGGACAGGGGUCCACGCCUAUCACGCCCAGGACGGCACUCCCCUCGCUGGUUCCCACACCAUCUACUGGCCGGCCUCUCCCUGCCUGGUUCGGCGCCAGCCUCCAGGGCCUCCAUUUGGGGCCAGAACCCCAGGGCCUUUGUGCCCACCCUCUUCCUCUGAGCAGUCAGGUCUCAGAUCAAUGGAGCCUUUCCUCACGCGUAUCCCAGGAACACGGCGGAGGCUCUCGGGCCAUGUCCUUUCCCAACAACUCAGGCCUGCCUUCCUCACUCCUAAUUCCAUUUGUAACAACUUGUUUUUCUGUUGAUUUACUCAUUUAAGGACGUCCUCCCCACUAGCAUCUGUUGGUCUGUCCCUGACCUUGCUCUGCAGUCUUCACCUGGGCAAGUUGUCAAGGGUUCCGUCCCCUGAACCUGGAAGUCUGGCUCGUUCUCACCCCUCCCCUCAUGCUCACAGGAGCUUGUUUCUGAACCGGAUAGCCAGGCCCGUGGUCUCAAAGGCCCAAGGAUGCUUCUGGAACAACACGGCAGAUGCGGACCUCCAGCUGGCCACGGGAAGUCCAGACCAACGGUGACCAGGGCUCAUCUGCCCAGGCCGGACAGAUGAGCGCUGGAGAGGAGGAGAGACUCAUAUGACAACCAGUAAUUACAAAUGUGCACGGCCCAGGCCUCUCGGAAUUGAGGCCAGCAGCUUCCGCAGAUGUCUGUGAUGGCCCUGAGGGUGAUAGACCACAGCAGAGUGUUUGGCAGACAGGAAAAUGUGUUUGACUAACAGGGACAGCAGGCCCUUUGUUAUCUCUUGGCCUUUGUAUUUAAGACCCAGAAGGAAGCGUUUCCAUAAUUAUUAUGCUGCUCACAUUACUGGCUGUUACAAUCCAUCAUCAUGCCCAUUUAGCCAAAGAUUCUGCUGUGUUUUCUUUCUUUUCAUCCCUCUCUCUCCACAGGGCUCCUUCUGGUUUCCCUGGCGUGCACACUUCCUCCACGUCAGGAGGACAGUCACACUACUGUGACCUUUGGAGAGGAGGCGCAGCUAAGCCGGGCUCCAGUCCCGCAUCAGUGUGCAAUUAAGGGGAGACAGCGGCUUCGAGUGAGACCAAUCUGGAGUUUCAGGAAAAUUCAAGACAGAGCAGACCUGGCCCUCACGCCUUUUCUGUUGUUCUGCUCUGCUGGACGCUGGACGCUGUCUCUGUGACCGACCACCAGUCAGAAGGCCCGGGGAGGCUGGGAGGUGAGUGGCAUGGAAUUUCAUCUGGUAGCCAUCUUCCCAUUAGGACUGCGCAUAAGCUCCUCAUCCCAGACGUGGAAUAAAUCACUGGAAGAAUAAUUCAGGGGUCGCUUUGCACCCACAGAUGAAAAUGGAGACCCCAUUUCCUUGGGAUGCUGGGACGUUA